Molecule: transfer RNA, 70 nt
Filed under: Dipodomys ordii (Ord's kangaroo rat)
Lineage: Eukaryota; Metazoa; Chordata; Mammalia; Rodentia; Heteromyidae
Rfam family: tRNA
About the family: Transfer RNA (tRNA) molecules are approximately 80 nucleotides in length. Their secondary structure includes four short double-helical elements and three loops (D, anti-codon, and T loops).
Source: Rfam by way of RNAcentral
GGGAAGGUAACUCAGUGGUAGAGUGCUUGCCUUGCAUGCAUGAGGCCCCGGGUUCGAUUCCUCAGCACCA